This 949-nucleotide long non-coding RNA is filed under the name Monodelphis domestica (gray short-tailed opossum). Its description in RNAcentral is "lncRNA (ENSMODG00000033101.2)". The record is from RNAcentral. Lineage: Eukaryota; Metazoa; Chordata; Mammalia; Didelphimorphia; Didelphidae.
CAACAGUCCAUUGCCUCUCUAAGUACUUACUUAUAUCCCAUAGGAACUCUCAAGUUAAUGUUCUUGAGAUUAUUCAAAUCAUCCUAAAUCCUUAAUAUUUAUGCCUCUGGUGGUAUUGGUGGGGAAGUGGGGGAAGUUGUACGUUCCCAGGUUUCAUUUGCAUUCCUUCAGGAGACACUUCUUAUAUUGAAAUGCUGGAGGAUGAUCAAUAUGGAGUAUAUAGGGAACAAGACUAUUUAAGAUAGUUUCAAAACCAAGCUUGAUGGUAGUCAUCAUUAGAUUGGCUCACUUAAUACUGGAAAUUCUAGGAUUAAAUUGUAUACUCAGGUGUUUAUGUUUUUAAAUAUCAGGUUCAUUUCUUGAGAAUCACAUCUUAUAAUUUCAGACUUUGAUGCUAAUGGUGAAGAAAUAUUGCAUAACUGAGGAAGAAAAACCAGAGGCUCCCUUUCCAGAUUCUCAACAGCUUUAAUGCUUUUUUCUUCAUUGGCACAGCCCAGGUGGAAGAACCAGUGACGGGAAUUUCUCUCAUUCUCACCAAUCUGGAAGAACUAGUUACUAAGAUGGAGAUGAUGAAUAUAAUCUCGACUUCCGGUCAAGAUGGUGGCAUAGAAGCAGCGAAAGUUCAGACCUCAGAAACCCUUCCUUACCGAUUGCAAACAGAGUGCUCCUAGGCCACCAAAAUUCAAGUUGAACAACAGGAUAGACCUGGGGAAACCUGCUCCGGGACCUGGAUCAAAAGGUACUGCACCCCAAAAGCCAGAACCCUAGAUCACUCGGAUCUAAGGGGUAGACAGAAAGAAGGUCCCAGGACCCAUCCCCCCCAACCCAGAGUGCUGAGCCCAGGGCAGAAGUGGGAACCUCAGGGCUCUGAGGACUCACCUUGAAAGCAACCUGAGCCAGUCUCCGGGGCGCCCAACACAGACGGCAGGGAAACAUAGAGAGAAGGGGG